GACGAACCGUGCGAACGUUGUUCGGAAUCACUGGGCUUAAAGGGCGCGUAGGCGGGCCCGCCAGUCCCUGGUGAAAUCCCCCGGCUCAACCGGGGAAGCGCCCGGGAUACUGCGGGCCUCGAGGGGGGUAGGGGCGCGCGGAACUUCCGGUGGAGCGGUGAAAUGCGUAGAUAUCGGAAGGAACACCGGUGGCGAAAGCGGCGCGCUGGGCCCUUGCUGACGCUGAGGCGCGAAAGCCAGGGGAGCAAACGGG
Molecule: ribosomal RNA, 253 nt
Filed under: uncultured Isosphaera sp.
Lineage: Bacteria; Pseudomonadati; Planctomycetota; Planctomycetia; Isosphaerales; Isosphaeraceae
Description: partial 16S ribosomal RNA
Rfam family: Bacterial small subunit ribosomal RNA
Source: RNAcentral